This 497-nucleotide ribosomal RNA is filed under the name uncultured bacterium. RNAcentral describes it as "partial 16S ribosomal RNA". It matches the Rfam family "Bacterial small subunit ribosomal RNA", at positions 28 to 507 of the family's 1533-position model. The record is from RNAcentral.
GACGAACGCUGGCGGCGUGCCUAAUACAUGCAAGUUGAGCGCUGAAGGUUGGUACUUGUACCAACUUGAUGUGCAGCGCACGUGUGAGUCACGCGUGGGGCCUCUGCCUUUGAUCGGGGUACAUCCUUUGGACACGAGUGCUAAUCCCGCAUAAAAACUUUCAACACAGUUUUUAAGUUUGAAAUAUGCAAUUUCGUCACUCAAUCAUGGUCCCUCGUUGUAUUGGCUAGUUGGUGAGGUAAAGGCUCACCAAGGCGAUGCUAGAGAGCCGACCUGAGCGGGUGAGCGGCCACAUUGGGGCUGAGACACGGCCAAAACUGCUACGGGAGGCAGCAGAAGGGAAUCUGCGGCAAUGGAGGAGAGUAUGACCGAGCAAGGCCGCGUGAGUGAAGAAGGUUUUCGGAGCGUAAAACUAUGGUGGUAGAGAAGAACGUUGGUGAGAGUGGAAAGCACAUCAAGGGACGGUAAAUACCCAGAAAGGGACGGCUAAAUAAGUG